UGAGGAAUAUUGGACAAUGGGCGCAAGCCUGAUCCAGCCAUGCCGCGUGCAGGAUGGCGGUCCUAUGGAUUGUAAACUGCUUUUGUACAGGAAGAAACAGUUCUACGUGUAGAACCUUGACGGUACUGUAAGAAUAAGGAUCGGCUAACUCCGUGCCAGCAGCCGCGGUAAUACGGAGGAUCCAAGCGUUAUCCGGAAUCAUUGGGUUUAAAGGGUCCGUAGGCGGUUAGAUAAGUCAGUGGUGAAAGCCCAUCGCUCAACGGUGGAGCGGCCAUUGAUACUGUCUGACUUGAAUUAUUAGGAAGUAACUAGAAUAUGUAGUGUAGCGGUGAAAUGCUUAGAGAUUACAUGGAAUACCAAUUUGCGAAGGCAGGUUACUACUAAUGGAUUGACGCUGAUGGACGAAAGCGUGGGUAGCGAACAGGAUUAGAUACCCAAGUAGUCCCUGAGCGGGCUGGCAAGGCGCAU
Molecule: ribosomal RNA, 468 nt
Filed under: uncultured bacterium
Lineage: Bacteria
Description: bacterial SSU rRNA
Rfam family: Bacterial small subunit ribosomal RNA
Source: RNAcentral